UUGGCGGACGGGUGAGUAACGCGUGGGUAACCUGCCUCACACUGGGGGAUAACACUUAGAGAUAGGUGCUAAUACCGCAUAAGCGCACGGGACUGCAUGGUCUUGUGUGAAAAACUCCGGUGGUGUGAGAUGGACCCGCGUCUGAUUAGCUGGUUGGCGGGGUAACGGCCCACCAAGGCGACGAUCAGUAGCCGGCCUGAGAGGGUGGACGGCCACAUUGGGACUGAGACACGGCCCAAACUCCUACGGAAGGCAGCAG
Molecule: ribosomal RNA, 259 nt
Filed under: uncultured bacterium
Lineage: Bacteria
Description: partial 16S ribosomal RNA
Rfam family: Bacterial small subunit ribosomal RNA
Source: RNAcentral